UGAUGAGCAAAGAGAUUAACUCCUCCAUCAUUUGGUUCUGCAUAACCGCUUUCAACAAGUUCCCACAAAUCAUGAGACAAGAAGAAAGUUCUCAUUUUAAUCUUCCAAAACUCAUAACUUGCACCUUUAAAGAUAGGAAUCAAAAACUGAGUAACACUUAAACUGCUACCAUUAGCUGCUGCCAUGAUGAUUUCUCAGAGAACUUUCGUCAAACAGUUCAAGGGCACA
RNAcentral lists this long non-coding RNA (228 nucleotides) under Elaeis guineensis (African oil palm). Its description in RNAcentral is "long non-coding RNA (EGUI_LNC014305)". Lineage: Eukaryota; Viridiplantae; Streptophyta; Magnoliopsida; Arecales; Arecaceae. The record is from RNAcentral.